UACGGGGGUGGAGGGGCCUCUGGGUCAACCUCCCACCCGUGUUUAUUAUACCUUGUUGCUUCGGCGGGCCCGCCUCACGGCCGCCGGGGGGCACCUGCCCCCGGGCCCGCGCCCGCCGAAGACACCAUUGAACUCUGUCUGAAGAUUGCAGUCUGAGCAGAUUAGCUAAAUCAGUUAAAACUUUCAACAACGGAUCUCUUGGUUCCGGCAUCGAUGAAGAACGCAGCGAAAUGCGAUAAGUAAUGUGAAUUGCAGAAUUCAGUGAAUCAUCGAGUCUUUGAACGCACAUUGCGCCCCCUGGUAUUCCGGGGGGCAUGCCUGUCCGAGCGUCAUUGCUGCCCUCAAGCACGGCUUGUGUGUUGGGCUUCGCCCCCCGGCUCCCGGGGGGCGGGCCCGAAAGGCAGCGGCGGCACCGCGUCCGGUCCUCGAGCGUAUGGGGCUUUGUCACCCGCUCUGUAGGCCCGGCCGGCGCCCGCCGGCGACCCCAAUCAAUCUUUCCAGGUUGACCUCGGAUCAGGUAGGGAUACCCGCUGAACUUAAGCAUAUCAAUAAGCGGAGGAA
This 561-nucleotide ribosomal RNA is filed under the name Penicillium simplicissimum. Its description in RNAcentral is "eukaryotic LSU rRNA". The stretch from base 179 to 332 matches the Rfam family "5.8S ribosomal RNA". Lineage: Eukaryota; Fungi; Ascomycota; Eurotiomycetes; Eurotiales; Aspergillaceae. The record is from RNAcentral.